CAGUCGCCACGGGAAUACGGAGGGUGCAAGCGUUAUCCGGAUUUAUUGGGUUUAAAGGGUCCGUAGGCGGAUCUGUAAGUCAGUGGUGAAAUCUCACAGCUUAACUGUGAAACUGCCAUUGAUACUGCAGGUCUUGAGUAAAUUUGAAGUGGCUGGAAUAAGUAGUGUAGCGGUGAAAUGCAUAGAUAUUACUUAGAACACUAAUUGCGAAGGCAGGUCACUAAGAUUUAACUGACGCUGAUGGACGAAAGCGUGGGGAGCGAACAGGAUUAGAUACCCCUGUAGUCCCUGUCUCUUAUAC
RNAcentral lists this ribosomal RNA (301 nucleotides) under uncultured bacterium. RNAcentral describes it as "partial 16S ribosomal RNA". It matches the Rfam family "Bacterial small subunit ribosomal RNA", at positions 509 to 807 of the family's 1533-position model. The record is from RNAcentral.